Molecule: transfer RNA, 104 nt
Rfam family: tRNA
About the family: Transfer RNA (tRNA) molecules are approximately 80 nucleotides in length. Their secondary structure includes four short double-helical elements and three loops (D, anti-codon, and T loops).
Source: Rfam
GGGGGUAUAGCUCAGGGGCAGAGCGAUCGCUUCGCAUGCGAUAAUCGUUGGUAGGACGCCUACCAGCGAUCGUCGGGCCGCGGGUUCAAAUCCCUCUACCUCCA